Molecule: ribosomal RNA, 433 nt
Filed under: uncultured bacterium
Lineage: Bacteria
Description: partial 16S ribosomal RNA
Rfam family: Bacterial small subunit ribosomal RNA
Source: RNAcentral
AACGAACGCUGGCGGCAUGCCUAACACAUGCAAGUCGAACGAGACCUUCGGGCCUAGUUGCGCACGGGUGCGUAACGCGUGGGAACCUGCCCUUAGGUUCGGAAUAACUCCCCGAAAGAGGUGCUAAUACCGGAUAAUGUCUUCGGACCAAAGAUUUAUCGCCUUUGGCUGGGCGCGCGUUGGAUUAGCUAGUUGGUAGGGUAAUAGCCAACCAAGGCCACGGUGCAUAGCUGGUCGGGGAGGAGGAUCAACCAAAAUUGGGAUGAGGCCCGGACCAGACUCGUACGGGAGGCAGCAGUGGGGAAUAUUGGACAAGGGGCGAAAGCCUGAUCCAGCCAUGCCGCGUGAGUGAGGAAGGCCUUAGGGUUGUAAAGCUCUCUUACCCGGGAUGAUAAUGACAGUACCGGGAGAAUAAGCGCCGGCUAACUCCGUG